AUGGAUCGGGCUGCUCCCCCCUGCUGCAGAGGCGCCGCGGUGCUGAUACUUCUGAUCUUCCUGCCGUUGAGCGCAUCCGAUGACCGGCUUGUCCCCGGCGAACCACUCUCUCCUGGCUCCACAAUCGUCUCCACAAUCGUCUCCGAUGGUGGUGCUUUUGCCUUGGGCUUCUUCGCCCCCUCCGACUCCACUCCGGCCAAGCUAUACCUUGGCAUAUGGUACAACAACAUUCCUGGUCUCACCGUCGUGUGGGUCGCCAACCGAGAAACUCCGGCCAUCAACACCGCACCCUCAGCACCGACCCUCUCCCUCAACAACACCUCCAAUCUCGUCAUAUCCGACGGUGACGAUGGCAGCCGUGUCGUCUGGGCAACAGCCAACAUGGGAGCCGCUGCCUCAGGCUCGUCUCCCCCGACGGCAGUGCUUCUGAAUACGGGCAACCUCGUGGUCCGGUCGUCAAACGGCACCAUUCUAUGGCAGAGUUUCGACCACCAAACCGACACAUUCCUUCCUGGGAUGAAGCUCGGGAUAAAGUACAACACGCAUGGCGAUAGGGACGAACGCCUGGUAUCCUGGAAGGGCCCCGGCGACCCCUCGCCGGGGCGCUUCUCCUACGGCGCUGACCCGGUGACGUUCCUCCAAUUAUUCCUCUGGGAUGGGGAGCAGCCAGUGGCCCGCAGUGCCCCGUGGACGGGGUACUCGGUUAGUGGUGACUACCUUACGGGGAACAUUAGCACGGAGCUCGUCAUCUACCAGGCUGUCGUCGACAACGACGAUGAGAUCUACGUCACCUACAGCCUCUCCGACGGCGCCCCUAACACCAGGUAUGUGCUCACCCACUCCGGUGAGUUCCAAAUCCAGAGCUGGAGCCGCAACACAUCGGCGUGGGUAGUCCUUGGGAAGUGGCCGUCCCAUGAAUGCAACCGCUAUGGAUACUGUGGCACGUACGGCUACUGUGAUGAGACGGACUCGCCUGUGUACACGUGCAAGUGCCUUGACGGCUUCGAGCCGGCGAGCGAGGAGGAAUGGGCUGGCGGCAAUUUCUCUGCGGGGUGUCGGCGGAAGGAGCAGCUGCGAGGGUGUGGCGAUGGCUUCUUAGCACUGCCAGGGAUGAUGUCCCCAGACAAGUUUGAGCUCGUCGGCGGCAAGGAUAUAAAUACAUUCGGUGAGUGCACGGCGGAGUGCAGCCGCAACUGCUCCUGCAUGGCAUAUGCCUAUGCCAACUUAAGCAGCGGAAGUACCGGAAGAGGCAGGACGAUGUGCUUGGUGUGGGCUGGAGAGUUGGUCGACACGGGGAAGAUUGGCACGGUGCUUGGUAGCGACACACUUUAUCUCCGUCUUGCCGGCCUUGAUGCUGCAGCUGGUAAAAGUACAAAGAGCAAUAAAAUAAGGAUUGUACUGCCAGUUUUAGGCGGUAUUUGUGUUCUCCUACUCAUAAGCUUCUGCCUCGCAUGGUUAAAAUACAAAGGUAAAAACAAAAGAUGGAGAAAGCACAUGAGUAUUUGGUUGGAUGAUAUGAAUACCACCGAUCAACGUGGGGAAGAAAACCCUCCCCAUGGUGAUGAAUUUCCAUCUUUCAGAUUUGAACAAAUUUCCCUCGCAACACACAAUUUCUCUCAAACAUGCAUGAUCGGACGGGGAGGGUUUGGCAAAGUUUACAAGGGAAUAUUAGGUGGUCAAGCAGUUGCCGUGAAGAGGCUAAGUAAGGAUUCUCAACAAGGAACAAAGGAAUUCAAGAAUGAAGUAAUUCUAAUAGCCAAAUUGCAACACAGAAACUUGGUUCGUCUUCUUGGAUGUUGUGCCGAGGGAGGAGAAAAGCUACUGAUUUAUGAGUAUCUGCCUAAUAAGAGCUUAGAUGCCACAAUUUUUGAUGAUUCAAGAAAAUUGUUGUUGGAUUGGACAAAACGGUUUAAUAUAAUAAAAGGAGUCGCUAAGGGACUUCUCUACCUCCACCAAGAUUCAAGACUGACAAUAAUUCAUAGAGAUCUCAAAGCUGGAAAUGUUUUGCUAGAUGCAGAGAUGAAACCUAAGAUAGCAGACUUUGGUAUGGCCAGGAUCAUCGUUGAUAACCAACAAAGUGCAAAUACCCAACGGGUUGUCGGAACAUAUGGAUACAUGGCUCCUGAGUAUGCAAUGGAAGGUCUCUUCUCUACCAAAUCUGAUGUCUACAGCUUUGGCGUGCUACUACUAGAGGUUGUGACUGGUAUAAGGAGAAGCUCAAAUAGUCAAACUAUGGGCUUCCCAAGCCUCACAGUCUAUUCAUGGAAUAUGUGGAACGAAGGGAAGACUGAGGAUUUGCCGGACUCAUCUAUUAUGGAUAACUGUUCACCAGAUGAAGUUUUGCUUUGCGUCCAUGUAGCACUCUUAUGUGUCCAGAGAACCCCGAUGACAGACCACAUAUGUCAUUUAUUGUGUUCCUCCUAG
RNAcentral lists this ribosomal RNA (2424 nucleotides) under Triticum aestivum (bread wheat). RNAcentral's name for it is "partial small subunit ribosomal RNA". The record is from RNAcentral. Lineage: Eukaryota; Viridiplantae; Streptophyta; Magnoliopsida; Poales; Poaceae.